GGGGAGAUGCCGGAGUGGUCGAACGGGACGGAUUCGAAAUCCGUUGUAUCCGCAAGGGUACCUAGGGUUCGAAUCCCUAUCUCCCCG
Molecule: transfer RNA, 87 nt
Filed under: Pseudomonas indica
Lineage: Bacteria; Pseudomonadati; Pseudomonadota; Gammaproteobacteria; Pseudomonadales; Pseudomonadaceae
Also listed under: 3 other names
Rfam family: tRNA
About the family: Transfer RNA (tRNA) molecules are approximately 80 nucleotides in length. Their secondary structure includes four short double-helical elements and three loops (D, anti-codon, and T loops).
Source: Rfam by way of RNAcentral